CGCCGCCCUACCCCCACGCGGCACCUCGCUAGCCUAGAUUUCGACUCGCCGCAGGUCACCCCCUACAGUAGAAGCACCAUGUGGCCAUCCGCUCCGGCCGCCUCCAUAUGCUGCAACCCGACGUCGCCCAACUGUAGCGCUGUCGCACCAGCACGCCAUAGCACCAAAAGCGCAUCCCCUGCCGCAGAUAUCUGGGCUAGCCGCCACCCCAGCCAGUCGCGUAUGGGCAGGUGCGGGCCGACGGCCCCCUCCCGGACUCGAUCUUCCCCGCGCCCUUGCUUCCAGUCCCCAAAUCCAGGAGAGACAGCGGGGGCACAACCCAAGAUCGGCGACAGGGCACGAGCGGACGUUGGAGAGACCAGAUCGACAAGUUAUAUGCCCACUCCAGGAAGAAACUGUAAGAAGUGCACUUGCUGCUGUUUGCGUUGGACUAGCUGGUGUUCCAUUGGAAGGAAGACGAAUGAGCAGGAAGAUGAGGUUGGAGGCAUCCUACGUGUAGUUCCUUCUUGUUGCGAAUCGGAAGCUCACUGGUGAGAAUCCUUCGUUUCUUGGUUCUAAUCCCUCAUGUACUCGUGUUCAUGUGAUGAUAUUCCAGAUUUGGCCUUCUCUUCAUCUAUCGCGAACCACUAGCGUCAUUUAGGUAUGUGUCUUGCUUGACUUGUUGAUUUAUAAUUACACAGUGCACUUUGUUUUUCUAUGGCGAUCUAUUGCUUUGUUCUUAAUUUUGCAGUACCUGGCAAGAACAGCUUCAACAACAUCUCACAUCAUCAAGUAGGUGUGACUAUCCUCUGUACAGAACUUGACAAAAGUCAUUAUAUGCACUCUUGUCAUAGUGCUAAACGAAAUGACAUGCAAGAACGACUGUUUGUUAGAAUAGUUACUAUUAUACUCCCUCGGUUUCUAAAUAUUAGUCGUUUUAGAUAUUUCAAUACGAGCUACAUACGGAUGUAUAUGAACAUAUUUUAGAGUGUAGAUUCACUCAUUUUGCUUCAUAUGUACUCCAUAUUGGAAUCUCUAAAAGGUCUUAUAUUUAGGAACAAAGGUAGUAUUAGGUUGCUAGCUAUGAAAAAUAGAAAAUUGAAAGGAAGAGCUUUGAUGAUGAGAUAAACUAAGCAGAUUGAAUAAAGAACUACACGUUCUACACUGAAAUGGUGAGUUGUGCAGCUUUUAAACACAUGCCAAUAAAAACUAUCAAACCCUGCAACCUACUGGCCAAUCUCUACUUUUUGGCAUGGUCGACCUCCAUUGCCACCUGCUGAUUUUUCACUCAGUAGGCUAGAUGCAGAGAUCAAGAGGGCACAUGAUUGGAGCUACAGAAAGCUCUGGCAGCGUAUUUUUUCUAACAUGAACUAGGGACUGGGCGCAUAGGGAGUUGGAGCCUGUACAUGAAGCAUGUCCUGCUUAGUCCAGCUGCACAUGGCGAAUGAAGGUGUUUACGAGGUUGUGUUAACCUAACACAGAGGAUAGAGCUUUUACUGUUUUGUGAACAUUUUUAAUAGCAAUUUGAAUGAAGACCGUUUAAAAAGUUUAUAUGUCUUUGAAUGAAGACCAUUUACAAAGUUCAAUUAUUUAAUUUACAUGAACACUGGACCUGCAAGGAAGUACUUCUCUAAUAAAUGAAAUAUACAUGAUUCAGUUUA
Triticum aestivum (bread wheat) is the source of this 1640-nucleotide long non-coding RNA. RefSeq lists it as uncharacterized. The record is from RefSeq and is a predicted model, not a curated record. NCBI's taxonomy places the organism in Eukaryota, Viridiplantae, Streptophyta, Magnoliopsida, Poales, Poaceae. The transcript is spliced from 2 exons.